This 301-nucleotide ribosomal RNA is filed under the name uncultured bacterium. Its description in RNAcentral is "partial 16S ribosomal RNA". It matches the Rfam family "Bacterial small subunit ribosomal RNA", at positions 509 to 807 of the family's 1533-position model. The record is from RNAcentral.
CAGCCGCCGCGGUAAUGCGAAGGGUGCAAGCGUUAAUCGGAAUUACUGGGCGUAAAGCGUGCGUAGGCGGUGAGUUAAGUCUGCUGUGAAAUCCCCGGGCUCAACCUGGGAAUGGCAGUGGAUACUGGCUCGCUAGAGUGUGUCAGAGGAUGGUGGAAUUCCCGGUGUAGCGGUGAAAUGCGUAGAGAUCGGGAGGAACAUCAGUGGCGAAGGCGGCCAUCUGGGACAACACUGACGCUGAGGCACGAAAGCGUGGGGAGCAAACAGGAUUAGAUACCCGAGUAGUCCCUGUCUCUUAUAC